GACGAACGCUGGCGGCGUGCUUAACACAUGCAAGUCGAACGAAGAGCGAUGGAAGCUUGCUUCUAUCAAUCUUAGUGGCGAACGGGUGAGUAACGCGUAAUCAACCUGCCCUUCAGAGGGGGACAACAGUUGGAAACGACUGCUAAUACCGCAUACGAUCUAACCUCGGCAUCGAGGAUAGAUGAAAGGUGGCCUCUACAUGUAAGCUAUCACUGAAGGAGGGGAUUGCGUCUGAUUAGCUAGUUGGAGGGGUAACGGCCCACCAAGGCGAUGAUCAGUAGCCGGUCUGAGAGGAUGAACGGCCACAUUGGGACUGAGACACGGCCCAGACUCCUACGGGAGGCAGCAGUGGGGAAUCUUCCGCAAUGGACGAAAGUCUGACGGAGCAACGCCGCGUGAGUGAUGACGGCCUUCGGGUUGUAAAGCUCUGUUAAUCGGGACGAAAGGCCUUCUUGCGAAUAGUAAAAGGAUGA
Molecule: ribosomal RNA, 473 nt
Filed under: uncultured bacterium
Lineage: Bacteria
Description: bacterial SSU rRNA
Rfam family: Bacterial small subunit ribosomal RNA
Source: RNAcentral